RNAcentral lists this ribosomal RNA (254 nucleotides) under uncultured bacterium. RNAcentral's name for it is "partial 16S ribosomal RNA". It matches the Rfam family "Bacterial small subunit ribosomal RNA", at positions 524 to 776 of the family's 1533-position model. The record is from RNAcentral.
UACGUAGGGGGCUAGCGUUGUCCGGAAUCAUUGGGCGUAAAGCGCGUGUAGGCGGUCCGGUAAGUCCGCUGUGAAAGUCGGGGGCUCAACCCUCGGAUGCCGGUGGAUACUGUCGGGCUUGAGUACGGAAGAGGCGAGUGGAAUUCCUGGUGUAGCGGUGAAAUGCGCAGAUAUCAAGGAGGAACACCAAUUGCGAAGGCAGCUCGCUGGGACGUUACUGACGCUGGAGACGCGAAAGCGUGGGAGCAAACAGG